This 442-nucleotide long non-coding RNA is filed under the name Vigna radiata. Its description in RNAcentral is "long non-coding RNA (VRAD_LNC013458)". The record is from RNAcentral. Lineage: Eukaryota; Viridiplantae; Streptophyta; Magnoliopsida; Fabales; Fabaceae.
UUUUUCUAUCUGCGGAGGAGGCCGGUCGGGCAUAGGAGCAUGCAUGAUAGCCUCCAUGAAAGGUAGCAGGUCCUGUGAGCGAGGAGGUCCUCUGUUCUGUGCCGUAUGGUCUUCAUCAUCAUUCCGGCUGUGGUCAUCUGUUGCAUCCCGCUGUUUCUCCUUGAGUUGUUUAAGUUCCUCUGUGAUCUUUAGAUAGGCCUCCUGUUGUUGUAGUAUGAGUUGAUUCUGUCGUUCCAACUGGUCCUGAAGUCGCCUCAUUUGCUCCAUAGGGUCUGUAUUGUUUCCGUCUUUGCUCCUGGUGGUCACCAUAGGGAAUCUUCUACUUCGGCCCCACGGUGGGCGCCAAAAUGUUACGGUGUAAAUUUACUGGGACCGAAGUACUAACCUCGAUGACGUCUUCUUCUGUGUUUCUGCCCGCUUUUCGUGAUUUCUGACCGUACGU